Molecule: long non-coding RNA, 788 nt
Filed under: Homo sapiens (human)
Lineage: Eukaryota; Metazoa; Chordata; Mammalia; Primates; Hominidae
Description: HSALNT0128949
Source: RNAcentral
CAGGAAAGGCAGUGUCUGCACAAACGUUCCUUCUGAGGCAAGAAGAUACAGGUAAUGGCGGAGCACGGUGGCUCACAUCUGUAACCCCAGCACUUUGGGAGGCCAAGGCGGGCAGAUCACCUGAGGUCAGGAGUUCAAGACCAGCCUGACCAACAUGGAGAAACCCCGUCUCUACUAAAAAUACAAAAAUUAGCUGGGCGUAGUGGCGCGCCCCUGUAAUCCCAACUACUCGAGAGUCUAGGCAGGAGAAUGACUUGAACCCGGGAGGCAGAGGUUGCAGUGAGCCGAGAUCGCGCCACCGCACUCCAAGAGCAAGACUCCAUCUGGAAAAAAAAAAAAUUGGUUGUGUUACUGGGCCCCUCUCAGCAGCUACUGGGGAGCCAGAAGGUCCUGGAGUCCAGUUUGGUGCUGGAGCUGCUGCACCUUGGCCCUCACUCCUAGGGGAGGUUGAGGCAGUGGCUGUGUGAGGAAAGAAGCCAUGGCAGUGACAGCUGUGCCUGGAGAGCCACAGAAGGAUGCAGCCGGCACUGCCCUCACUACGCGGGAAGCACUGCAAGACUGAGAGACUGAGGCAGGAUCAAGGCCUGGGAAGGAGUGGGGCUUAGCAAAUCUAAGGAGGUUUAUAAACUGGGUCCAGAACAUUGACUUAGGGAAAAACUGUUUAGAUUCUAAAUUUGAUGUUCUGAGCAGCCAGAUGUAUUGUGACUGCAACUUCUGUAAGCACCGGUUUUAAAAAAGCAUGUGAAUUGAAAGAUUUCUUGUGUUCUCUCCUCAUGACAAAAUGAUGC